AGUUCCACCCCUAUUCUUAUUCCUUUGUACAGCUUCUCCUUUGCAUGUCAUGAUUAUGCUAUAGAAAACGUGAAGCUUUCUUUGCUGAUUCAAACUAUAAAAUACUUCACAUUUCAAUUUCUGGCUCUCUUAUAAGUAUUUUGUCGCCAUCGAUGCGUACUGCCUGAGAUGUUUUCUGGUAUGGCAUGUCCAUUAGUUAGUUCAUGAAUUACAUAGCAUCAUCCAAUUUUGAGAGAAUAUGUGAUAUGGUACUUCUAUGGAACUAGAUUAUGAGAACGAAAAUUCCAAUAUUCAUUCACUUUUUCCCUGUAUGAAUUACACGAUUCAGCACCUUUAAAUUAUUUUCUCUUUUGUUUUCUUUUCUGUCCUAUACGUGAUUUUGUGGUUGGUGGAAAACUUUUAGAAAAAUUAAGGCCUGACAAUUUUCUCUGGAUUUCUUUCAGAAACAGGUCUUAGCGCGCUUUGAUAAUAGAUUUCUUACGGUGGCUAUUUUUCAUAAGAGUGCAGCUUUCAUUGUAGUCGGGGCAAUCUAGGUAUCUCUGUGAUUGCAGAAUUAGCAAAAAGUUGUGAGAUUCAAGCUACUGUCCCGUUACAUCCUUUACUCAAGGAUGAAUAUUGUCUGACAUAUACUAUUUUGGUGGGAAUCCUGAAGCAGUUGAGUUCUGCUCAUAUAACUCUUUUCAUCACAUUUUGUCCGCGGCUACAUAUACAUUACCAGAGGGCAUUUGUUUAAACUGAAAAUAAUAUAUACGCUAUACGAUUAAUAAUUCAUUGGGAAUAAAGAAGUGAUGAAACUUUUGUUUGUUCCUAUUA
Long non-coding RNA from Ananas comosus (pineapple), 813 nucleotides. RefSeq lists it as uncharacterized. Lineage: Eukaryota; Viridiplantae; Streptophyta; Magnoliopsida; Poales; Bromeliaceae. The record is from RefSeq and is a predicted model, not a curated record. The transcript is spliced from 3 exons.